AUUGAACGCUGGCGGAAUGCUUUACACAUGCAAGUUGAACGGUAGAGGGGGCAGCCCCUCGAGAGUGGCGAACGGGUGAGUAAUAUAUCGGAACGUGCCCAGUCGUGGGGGAUAACGUAGCGAAAGUUACGCUAAUACCGCAUACGAUCUAAGGAUGAAAGCGGGGGAUCGCAAGACCUCGCGCGAUUGGAGCGGCCGAUAUCAGAUUAGGUAGUUGGUGGGGUAAAGGCUCACCAAGCCAACGAUCUGUAGCUGGUCUGAGAGGACGACCAGCCACACUGGAACUGAGACACGGUCCAGACUCCUACGGGAGGCAGCAGUGGGGAAUUUUGGACAAUGGACGCAAGUCUGACCCAGCCAUUCCGCGUGCAGGAUGAAGGCCCUCGGGUUGUAAACUGCUUUUGUACGGAACGAAAAGGUCUCUCUUAAUACGGGGGGCUCAUGACGGUACCGUAAGAAUAAGCACCGGCUAACUACGUGCCAGCAGCCGCCGUAA
This 496-nucleotide ribosomal RNA is filed under the name uncultured bacterium. RNAcentral's name for it is "partial 16S ribosomal RNA". It matches the Rfam family "Bacterial small subunit ribosomal RNA", at positions 30 to 523 of the family's 1533-position model. The record is from RNAcentral.